RNAcentral lists this ribosomal RNA (463 nucleotides) under Vreelandella stevensii. Its description in RNAcentral is "partial 16S ribosomal RNA". It matches the Rfam family "Bacterial small subunit ribosomal RNA", at positions 338 to 795 of the family's 1533-position model. The record is from RNAcentral. Lineage: Bacteria; Pseudomonadati; Pseudomonadota; Gammaproteobacteria; Oceanospirillales; Halomonadaceae.
CCUACGGGGGCAGCAGUGGGGAAUAUUGGACAAUGGGCGAAAGCCUGAUCCAGCCAUGCCGCGUGUGUGAAGAAGGCCUUCGGGUUGUAAAGCACUUUCAGUGGGGAAGAAAGCCUUGGGGCUAAUACCCUCGAGGAAGGACAUCACCCACAGAAGAAGCACCGGCUAACUCCGUGCCAGCAGCCGCGGUAAUACGGAGGGUGCGAGCGUUAAUCGGAAUUACUGGGCGUAAAGCGCGCGUAGGCGGUCUGAUAAGCCGGUUGUGAAAGCCCCGGGCUCAACCUGGGAACGGCAUCCGGAACUGUCAGGCUAGAGUGCAGGAGAGGAAGGUAGAAUUCCCGGUGUAGCGGUGAAAUGCGUAGAGAUCGGGAGGAAUACCAGUGGCGAAGGCGGCCUUCUGGACUGACACUGACGCUGAGGUGCGAAAGCGUGGGUAGCAAACAGGAUUAGAUACCCCGUAGUC